UGGGGAAUAUUGGACAAUGGGCGCAAGCCUGAUCCAGCCAUGCCGCGUGUGUGAAGAAGGCCUUCGGGUUGUAAAGCACUUUUGUUGGGGAAGAAAAGCUACCGGUUAAUACCCGGGAGUCAUGACGGUACCCAAAGAAUAAGCACCGGCUAACUUCGUGCCAGCAGCCGCGGUAAUACGAAGGGUGCAAGCGUUACUCGGAAUUACUGGGCGUAAAGCGUGCGUAGGUGGUGAGUUAAGUCUGUCGUGAAAGCCCCGGGCUCAACCUGGGAAUGGCGAUGGAUACUGGCUCGCUAGAGUGCGGUAGAGGAGAGUGGAAUUCCCGGUGUAGCAGUGAAAUGCGUAGAGAUCGGGAGGAACAUCAGUUGCGAAGGCGGCUCUCUGGACCAACACUGACACUGAGGCACGAAAGCGUGGGGAGCAAACA
Molecule: ribosomal RNA, 427 nt
Filed under: uncultured Arenimonas sp.
Lineage: Bacteria; Pseudomonadati; Pseudomonadota; Gammaproteobacteria; Lysobacterales; Lysobacteraceae
Description: bacterial SSU rRNA
Rfam family: Bacterial small subunit ribosomal RNA
Source: RNAcentral